This 314-nucleotide unclassified non-coding RNA is filed under the name plant metagenome. Its description in RNAcentral is "partial contains 5.8S ribosomal RNA, internal transcribed spacer 2, and large subunit ribosomal RNA". The stretch from base 1 to 105 matches the Rfam family "5.8S ribosomal RNA", at positions 50 to 154 of the family's 154-position model. The record is from RNAcentral.
GAAAUGCGAUAAUUAAUGUGAAUUGCAGAAUUCAGUGAAUCAUCGAGUCUUUGAACGCACAUUGCGCCCCCUGGUAUUCCGGGGGGCAUGCCUGUCCGAGCGUCAUUGCUGCCCUCAAGCACGGCUUGUGUGUUGGGCUUCCGUCCCUGGCAACGGGGACGGGCCCAAAAGGCAGUGGCGGCACCAUGUCUGGUCCUCGAGCGUAUGGGGCUUUGUCACCCGCUCCCGUAGGUCCAGCUGGCAGCUGGCCUCGCAACCAAUCUUUUUAACCAGGUUGACCUCGGAUCAGGUAGGGAUACCCGCUGAACUUAAGC